RNA transcript from Benincasa hispida (wax gourd), 1391 nucleotides. RefSeq lists it as uncharacterized. NCBI's taxonomy places the organism in Eukaryota, Viridiplantae, Streptophyta, Magnoliopsida, Cucurbitales, Cucurbitaceae. The record is from RefSeq and is a predicted model, not a curated record.
GGCCAAAACUAUAGGUACUUGAAUCAUUAAUGGGCAUUUGCACCUCAGCCGAACCGCUACAUAAUCUUACGACGGACCACCGUGAAGGGAUAAUCGGAGCCCAGAUAUUUUUGCUUCCACGUUUAUUCUUCUCGCCGCCGGCCGGUAUGAUGGAUGACGUCGUCGGAAACAACCGUAUUCGUAAUCUACAAGACGGCUUUCACCACCGUGACCUGCGGACGAAGAUCAUCCAAUUUCUCACCGGCGUUGGCAAGUUCGCCGUGGACUCUACCUUCUUCAGCUCUCUCAAGGCCGUCUCCGGUAAGAAUCAAGCACAUAAGGUUGGGGGAGGAGGAUUAAAGGAUACGCCCCAUUCAUCCUCUUUAAAUGAAAAGAAACCGGAAGAGCUUAAACUAGUGCUGGAUAAGAUGCAGGCAGAGAUGGAGAAAACAGAGGCAGACAAGAACAAAAUGAAGCAACACCAUUGUACAUCUGCAGAGAUUGUUGAUGACUCUGAACCACUAAAGAAGUUGCCAGGGGAAGGUGUCAAAGGAUCAGCCAACGAGAUUCAAAACAAGAAAAGAAUCUUCAUCCGUUCCAGACUGUAGACAAUGGAGUUCAUUAUUGUAGUAGCAUAGCAAGAAUAAUGGAUUCCUUUCUUGACAAGGGCUUACAAGGAAACAUCUUGCCACCUAUUUUGGGAAUGUAAGGUUUCUAAGAAGAUUUGGAAUGUUUUAGUUCCCUCUAAUGUUCGUCUGUUUUUUAUGGGCAGGACAUCUGGAAUGUUUGUGAUUACUGGGAAUGCAUAAAGGAGAUUAAUCCUAAAGAGCGGAUGGGAAAAAUCCUCACGUUUUUAUGGUGCAUCUAGAACCAAAGGAAUGUUAUUUGCUUCAACCACGUAUCGUCUGAAGAUAAAGACAUUAUCUCGGCUAUCGAAGCGUCUUUUGAAGCUUACUCGGGUAGGUCUCCCACUGUCUCCCUGUUUCUCUUCCCACUCUGAUCCCGAUCAAGGGAAUGACGGUUGGAAAGCCCCUAAGGAGGGUUGUUGAAAGUUGAAUGUUGAUGUGGUGUGGUCGGACUCUUUGCAUUGUGGUGGUUUAGGCUGGAUUGUGCGUGAUUACCUUGGAACUCUUAUUUUGGGUGGGUUCAAGCAUAUCAAUCAUAAUUGGGGGAUCAAGGUGUUUGAGGCAAAAGUAGUGGUGGAAGACUUGAUUGAGGUCUACAGGCUUUGGAAGGGUCAAAAUCCUCUGGUGGUGGUCUAAACAAAUUCUCUUGAGGUAAUUAAAUUAUUGAACUAUCUAGACUCUGAUUUUUCGGAAGUUGAUAUUUCUGUCAAAGAGGCCCUUAGCCUUGUAAAGUCUAUUAAUAUCUGUAAUUUUUGCAAGGUUCCUAGAGAGGAGAAUAAAGUUGCC